This 2922-nucleotide ribosomal RNA is filed under the name Bacillus cereus. Its description in RNAcentral is "23S ribosomal RNA". It matches the Rfam family "Bacterial large subunit ribosomal RNA". RNAcentral also lists the same sequence under 12 other names. The record is from RNAcentral. Lineage: Bacteria; Bacillati; Bacillota; Bacilli; Caryophanales; Bacillaceae.
GGUUAAGUUAGAAAGGGCGCACGGUGGAUGCCUUGACACUAGGAGUCGAUGAAGGACGGGACUAACGCCGAUAUGCUUCGGGGAGCUGUAAGUAAGCUUUGAUCCGAAGAUUUCCGAAUGGGGAAACCCACCAUACGUAAUGGUAUGGUAUCCUUAUCUGAAUACAUAGGGUAAGGAAGACAGACCCAGGGAACUGAAACAUCUAAGUACCUGGAGGAAGAGAAAGCAAAUGCGAUUUCCUGAGUAGCGGCGAGCGAAACGGAACAUAGCCCAAACCAAGAGGCUUGCCUCUUGGGGUUGUAGGACAUUCUAUACGGAGUUACAAAGGAACGAGGUAGACGAAGCGACCUGGAAAGGUCCGUCGUAGAGGGUAACAACCCCGUAGUCGAAACUUCGUUCUCUCUUGAAUGUAUCCUGAGUACGGCGGAACACGUGAAAUUCCGUCGGAAUCUGGGAGGACCAUCUCCCAAGGCUAAAUACUCCCUAGUGAUCGAUAGUGAACCAGUACCGUGAGGGAAAGGUGAAAAGCACCCCGGAAGGGGAGUGAAAGAGAUCCUGAAACCGUGUGCCUACAAAUAGUCAGAGCCCGUUAACGGGUGAUGGCGUGCCUUUUGUAGAAUGAACCGGCGAGUUACGAUCCCGUGCGAGGUUAAGCUGAAGAGGCGGAGCCGCAGCGAAAGCGAGUCUGAAUAGGGCGUUUAGUACGUGGUCGUAGACCCGAAACCAGGUGAUCUACCCAUGUCCAGGGUGAAGUUCAGGUAACACUGAAUGGAGGCCCGAACCCACGCACGUUGAAAAGUGCGGGGAUGAGGUGUGGGUAGCGGAGAAAUUCCAAUCGAACCUGGAGAUAGCUGGUUCUCCCCGAAAUAGCUUUAGGGCUAGCCUUAAGUGUAAGAGUCUUGGAGGUAGAGCACUGAUUGGACUAGGGGUCCUCAUCGGAUUACCGAAUUCAGUCAAACUCCGAAUGCCAAUGACUUAUCCUUAGGAGUCAGACUGCGAGUGAUAAGAUCCGUAGUCAAAAGGGAAACAGCCCAGACCGCCAGCUAAGGUCCCAAAGUGUGUAUUAAGUGGAAAAGGAUGUGGAGUUGCUUAGACAACUAGGAUGUUGGCUUAGAAGCAGCCACCAUUUAAAGAGUGCGUAAUAGCUCACUAGUCGAGUGACUCUGCGCCGAAAAUGUACCGGGGCUAAAUACACCACCGAAGCUGCGGAUUGAUACCAAUGGUAUCAGUGGUAGGGGAGCGUUCUAAGGACAGUGAAGUCAGACCGUAAGGACUGGUGGAGUGCUUAGAAGUGAGAAUGCCGGUAUGAGUAGCGAAAGACGGGUGAGAAUCCCGUCCACCGAAUGCCUAAGGUUUCCUGAGGAAGGCUCGUCCGCUCAGGGUUAGUCAGGACCUAAGCCGAGGCCGACAGGCGUAGGCGAUGGACAACAGGUUGAUAUUCCUGUACCACCUCUUUAUCGUUUGAGCAAUGGAGGGACGCAGAAGGAUAGAAGAAGCGUGCGAUUGGUUGUGCACGUCCAAGCAGUUAGGCUGAUAAGUAGGCAAAUCCGCUUAUCGUGAAGGCUGAGCUGUGAUGGGGAAGCUCCUUAUGGAGCGAAGUCUUUGAUUCCCCGCUGCCAAGAAAAGCUUCUAGCGAGAUAAAAGGUGCCUGUACCGCAAACCGACACAGGUAGGCGAGGAGAGAAUCCUAAGGUGUGCGAGAGAACUCUGGUUAAGGAACUCGGCAAAAUGACCCCGUAACUUCGGGAGAAGGGGUGCUUUCUUAACGGAAAGCCGCAGUGAAUAGGCCCAAGCGACUGUUUAGCAAAAACACAGCUCUCUGCGAAGCCGUAAGGCGAAGUAUAGGGGGUGACACCUGCCCGGUGCUGGAAGGUUAAGGAGAGGGGUUAGCGUAAGCGAAGCUCUGAACUGAAGCCCCAGUAAACGGCGGCCGUAACUAUAACGGUCCUAAGGUAGCGAAAUUCCUUGUCGGGUAAGUUCCGACCCGCACGAAAGGUGUAACGAUUUGGGCACUGUCUCAACCAGAGACUCGGUGAAAUUAUAGUACCUGUGAAGAUGCAGGUUACCCGCGACAGGACGGAAAGACCCCGUGGAGCUUUACUGUAGCCUGAUAUUGAAUUUUGGUACAGUUUGUACAGGAUAGGCGGGAGCCAUUGAAACCGGAGCGCUAGCUUCGGUGGAGGCGCUGGUGGGAUACCGCCCUGACUGUAUUGAAAUUCUAACCUACGGGUCUUAUCGACCCGGGAGACAGUGUCAGGUGGGCAGUUUGACUGGGGCGGUCGCCUCCUAAAGUGUAACGGAGGCGCCCAAAGGUUCCCUCAGAAUGGUUGGAAAUCAUUCGUAGAGUGCAAAGGCAUAAGGGAGCUUGACUGCGAGACCUACAAGUCGAGCAGGGACGAAAGUCGGGCUUAGUGAUCCGGUGGUUCCGCAUGGAAGGGCCAUCGCUCAACGGAUAAAAGCUACCCCGGGGAUAACAGGCUUAUCUCCCCCAAGAGUCCACAUCGACGGGGAGGUUUGGCACCUCGAUGUCGGCUCAUCGCAUCCUGGGGCUGUAGUCGGUCCCAAGGGUUGGGCUGUUCGCCCAUUAAAGCGGUACGCGAGCUGGGUUCAGAACGUCGUGAGACAGUUCGGUCCCUAUCCGUCGUGGGCGUAGGAAAUUUGAGAGGAGCUGUCCUUAGUACGAGAGGACCGGGAUGGACGCACCGCUGGUGUACCAGUUGUUCUGCCAAGGGCAUAGCUGGGUAGCUAUGUGCGGAAGGGAUAAGUGCUGAAAGCAUCUAAGCAUGAAGCCCCCCUCAAGAUGAGAUUUCCCAUAGCGUAAGCUAGUAAGAUCCCUGAAAGAUGAUCAGGUUGAUAGGUUCGAGGUGGAAGCAUGGUGACAUGUGGAGCUGACGAAUACUAAUAGAUCGAGGACUUAACCAU